GAUGAACGCUAGCUACAGGCUUAACACAUGCAAGUCGAUGGGAAACGCCAUUGCAGCUUGCUUCGAUGGUCGUCGACCGGUGCACGGGUGAGUAACGCGUAUCCAACCUGCCUCUGACCAAGGGCUAACCCGUCGAAAGUCGGCCUAAUACCUUAUGCAGUCGUCGGAAGUCAUCUGAUGACGACGACAGAUUUCAUCGGUGAGAGAUGGGGAUGCGUCUGAUUAGCUUGUUGGCGGGGUAACGGCCCACCAAGGCAACGAUCAGUAGGGGUUCUGAGAGGAGGGUCCCCCACAUUGGAACUGAGACACGGUCCAAACUCCUACGGGAGGCAGAAGUGAGGAAUAUUGAUCAAUGGGCGAGAGCCUGAACCAGCCAAGUAGCGUGCAGGAUGACGGCCCUAUGGGUUGUAAACUGCUUUUAUGCGGGGAUAAAGUGAGGGACGUGUCCUUCAUUGCAGGUACCGCAUGAAUAAGGACCGGCUAAUUCCGUG
RNAcentral lists this ribosomal RNA (491 nucleotides) under uncultured bacterium. RNAcentral describes it as "partial 16S ribosomal RNA". It matches the Rfam family "Bacterial small subunit ribosomal RNA", at positions 28 to 507 of the family's 1533-position model. The record is from RNAcentral.